GGAGUAACGCGUGGAUAACCUGCCUCACACAGGGGAGUAACAGUUAGAAAUGACUGCUAAUACCGCAUAAGCGCACAGUACCGCAUGGUACAGUGUGAAAAACUCCGGUGGUGUGAGAUGGAUCCGCGUCUGAUUAGGUAGUUGGUGGGGUAACGGCCCACCAAGCCGACGAUCAGUAGCCGACCUGAGAGGGUGACCGGCCACAUUGGGACUGAGACACGGCCCAA
This 227-nucleotide ribosomal RNA is filed under the name uncultured bacterium. RNAcentral's name for it is "partial 16S ribosomal RNA". It matches the Rfam family "Bacterial small subunit ribosomal RNA", at positions 107 to 334 of the family's 1533-position model. The record is from RNAcentral.